RNAcentral lists this ribosomal RNA (301 nucleotides) under uncultured bacterium. Its description in RNAcentral is "partial 16S ribosomal RNA". It matches the Rfam family "Bacterial small subunit ribosomal RNA", at positions 509 to 807 of the family's 1533-position model. The record is from RNAcentral.
CAGUAGCCGCGGUAAGACAGAGGUCCCGAGCGUUGUUCGGAUUCAUUGGGCGUAAAGGGUGUGUAGGAGGCCAGGUAAGUCAGGUGUGAAAUCUCAGAGCUUAACUCUGAAACUGCGCUUGAUACUGCUUGGCUAGAGGAUCGGAGGGGGUAACGGAAUUUAUGGUGUAGCAGUGAAAUGCGUAGAGAUGUGGAGGAACACCAGUGGCGAAGGCGACUCUCUGGUCUGUAACUGACGCUGAGGAGCGAAAGCGUGGGGAGCGAACAGGAUUAGAUACCCCCGUAGUCCCUGUCUCUUAUAC